AAUUGAACGCUGGCGGCAGGCCUACCUCAUGCAAGUCGAACGGUAGCACAAAGAGCUUGCUCUUGGGUGACGAGUGGCGGACGGGUGAGUAAUGUCUGGAAAACUGCCUGAUGGAGGGGGAUAACUACUGGAAACGGUAGCUAAUACCGCAUAAUGUCCCAAGACCAAAGAGGGGGACCUUCGGGCCUCUUGCCAUCAAAUGUGCCCAGAUGGGAUUAGCUAGUAGGUGGGGUAACGGCUCACCUAGGCAACAAUCCCUAGCUGGUCUGAGAGGAUGACCAGCCACACUGGAACUGAAACACGGUCCAAACUCCUACGGGAGGCAGCAGUGGGGAAUAUCGCACAAUGGGCGCAAGCCUGAUGCAGCCUUGCCGCGUGUAUGAAGAAGGCCUUCGGGUUGUAAAGUACUUUCAGCGGGGAGGAAGGCGAUAAGGUUAAUAACCUUGUCAAUUGACGUUACCCGCAAAAAAAGCACCGGCUAACUCCGUG
Molecule: ribosomal RNA, 489 nt
Filed under: uncultured bacterium
Lineage: Bacteria
Description: bacterial SSU rRNA
Rfam family: Bacterial small subunit ribosomal RNA
Source: RNAcentral